RNA transcript from Acomys russatus (golden spiny mouse), 843 nucleotides. It is a transcript of the gene named C-type lectin domain containing 5A, with no coding region annotated. The transcript has 7 exons. NCBI's taxonomy places the organism in Eukaryota, Metazoa, Chordata, Mammalia, Rodentia, Muridae. The record is from RefSeq and is a predicted model, not a curated record.
AAAGACUAUUUGUAUGACAGCCCAGACUUCCAGAAAGAGAUCAGGUCCCUGAAUCCCCAUCAUCAUGAACUGGCACAUGAUCAUCUCAGGGCUCAUUGUAGUAGUGAUCAAAGCUGUUGGGAUGACCUUAUUCCUGCUGUAUUUCUCACGGAUUUUGGGCAGAAACGAUGAAAGCCUCGCUCCUACAAGGAGCUAUGGAACAGCCUGUCCCAGUGACUGGGAAUUUUAUCAAGGAAGAUGCUUCUUCUUCUCCACCUCCGAAUUAUCUUGGAAAAACAGCAAGGAUGACUGUGAGACAAAAGGUUCUACACUGGCAAUUGUCAACACACCAGAGAAACUGAAGUUUCUUCAGGACAUAGCUGAUUCUGAGAAGCACUUUAUUGGUUUGGUGCGUCAGCCUGGAGAGAAAACGUGGCACUGGGUCAACAAAUCUGUGUUCAAUGGCAAUGUUACCAACGAGAACCAGAACUUCCUCUGCGUCACUAUAGGCCUGACAAAGACAUUUGAUGCUGUAUCGUGUGACGUCACCUAUCGCUGGAUCUGCGAGAAGACUCCCAAGUGAUUAUGGGUCUCUACAGCAAGGGCAAACAUUUACAGAGGCAGCAAAAGAGAUGAGUUGCAACUGAAGCUAGCCCAGGAAAUAGAGAGCAUCAAGCACUGUGCCCGUCUUCCAUAGGCAUUCCCCAAGACCACACCCCUUGAGAGAGGGGACUAGACUCUCGUCAUCUCCAGCAGAUAGGGCCAGCCUGCUGGAGAUGAAAUCCAUAUGGAAAUGAAGUCUGUUUCUGUAGAGCUGAGUAUUUUGACUAAUUCGUGGGGUUUUGUCUGUUGACAGAACCUGUA